RNAcentral lists this transfer RNA (83 nucleotides) under candidate division TA06 bacterium ADurb.Bin417. RNAcentral's name for it is "tRNA-Leu". It matches the Rfam family "tRNA". Rfam says of the family: Transfer RNA (tRNA) molecules are approximately 80 nucleotides in length. Their secondary structure includes four short double-helical elements and three loops (D, anti-codon, and T loops). The record is from RNAcentral.
GCCGGGAUGGUGGAAUUGGCAGACACGUACGUUUGAGGGGCGUAUGGGGAAACCCUUGUGGGUUCAAAUCCCACUCCCGGCAC